AGCAGCCGCGGUAAUUCCAGCUCCAAUAGCGUAUAUUAAAGUUGCUGCAGUUAAAAAGCUCGUAGUUGAAUUUCGGGAUCAAUACGUCGGUCGUGCUUUCGGGUACGUACUGGUGUCAUUGGUUUCUCCUUUCUGACGAGCCGUGAUGUCAUUAAUUUGGUGUUACGGGUAGUUAGGACUGUUAUUUUGAAAAAAUUUAGAGUGUUUAAAGCAGGCUUACGCUUGAAUACAUUAGCAUGGAAUAAUGAAAUAGGACGUUUGAUCCUAUUUUGUUGGUUUCUAGGAUUGACGUAAUGAUUAAUAGGGAUAGUUGGGGGCAUUAGUAUUCAAUUGUCAGAGGUGAAAUUCUUGGAUUAUUGAAGACUAACUACUGCGAAAGCAUUUGCCAAGGAUGUUUUCAUUAAUCAAGAACGAAAGUUAGGGGAUCGAAGACGAUCAGAUACCGUCGUAGUCUUAACCAUAAACUAUGCCGACUAGGGAUCGGAUGAUGUUAAUUUUUUAAUGACUCAUUCGGCGCCUU
Molecule: ribosomal RNA, 520 nt
Filed under: uncultured Glomus
Lineage: Eukaryota; Fungi; Glomeromycota; Glomeromycetes; Glomerales; Glomeraceae
Description: SSU rRNA
Rfam family: Eukaryotic small subunit ribosomal RNA
Source: RNAcentral